Molecule: ribosomal RNA, 120 nt
Filed under: Helianthus annuus (common sunflower)
Lineage: Eukaryota; Viridiplantae; Streptophyta; Magnoliopsida; Asterales; Asteraceae
Also listed under: 1 other name
Source: RNAcentral
GGUUGCGAUCAUACCAGCACUAAUGCACCGGAUCCCAUCAGAACUCCGCAGUUAAGCGUGCUUGGGCGAGAGUAAUACUAGGAUGGGUGACCCCCUGGGAAGUCCUCGUGUUGCAACCCC